This 1990-nucleotide ribosomal RNA is filed under the name Lacticaseibacillus rhamnosus. RNAcentral's name for it is "partial 23S ribosomal RNA". It matches the Rfam family "Bacterial large subunit ribosomal RNA", at positions 1044 to 2925 of the family's 2925-position model. Lineage: Bacteria; Bacillati; Bacillota; Bacilli; Lactobacillales; Lactobacillaceae. The record is from RNAcentral.
GUCCCGAAGCGUGUGCUAAGUGGGAAAGGAUGUGGAGUCGCAUAGACAGCCAGGAGGUUGGCUCAGAAGCAGCCACCCUUGAAAGAGUGCGUAACAGCUCACUGGUCUAGUGGUUCCGCGCCGACAAUGUAGCGGGGCUCAAGCACACCACCGAAGACGCGGCAGUAUUUUGUACUGGGUAGGAGAGCGUCCCAUGAGGGGCGAAGCGGCCGUGUGAACGCGCCGUGGACUUCAUGGGAGUGAGAAUGCAGACAUGAGUAGCGAGAGACGGGUGAAGAUCCCGUCCGCUGGAUGACCAAGGGUUCCAGGGCCACGUUCAUCGUCCCUGGGUGAGUCGGGUCCUAAGGCGAGGCCGACAGGCGUAGUCGAAUGGAUGAACGGGUCGAUAUUCCCGUACCGGCUUUCAGCCGCCAAAACCGAGGCUUGGAGUACUAACCUCCGGGUCCGGGCUUACUGCUCCUUCGGGGGCGGGAUGCCCUGGCCUGUUGGGACCGAUCCUUGUAGUAGGUCAGCGCAGGAGUGACGCAGAAGGGUAGCCGGCCGCGGAGGUGGUCUUCCGUGGUCAAGCACGCAGGGCGUGGGACAGGCAAAUCCGUCCCGCAUGGGUCCGAGGUGCGAUGAUGGGGGCCUUAUGGCCCGAUAUCCGGUGAUCCCGGCUGCCGAGAAAAGCUUCGGCGUCAGGCUCGAAGCCGCCCGUACCCCAAACCGACACUGGUGGUCAGGUAGAGAAUACCAAAGCGAUCGAGCGAAUCCUGGUCAAGGAACUCGGCAAAUCACUCCCGUUCCUUCGGUUUAAGGGAGACCCCCGAUGGUGAACACACUUGCUGUGGGAGCUUUUGGGGGUGGCACAGACCAGGGGGUAGCGACUGUUUACCAAAAACACAGGUGCAUGCGAAGGCGCAAGCCGCUGUAUAUGCACUGACGCCUGCCCGGUGCCGGAAGGUUAAGAGGAUCCGUCAGCCUUCGGGUGAAGCGGUGAAUUCAAGCCCCGGUAAACGGCGGUGGUAACUAUAACCAUCCUAAGGUAGCGAAAUUCCUUGUCGGGUAAGUUCCGACCUGCACGAAUGGCGUAACGACUUCCCCACUGUCUCGACCAGGAGCUCGGCGAAAUUGCAGUACGAGUAAAGAUGCUCGUUAAGCGCAGAAGGACGAAAAGACCCCGGGACCUUUACUAUACCUUGGUAUUGGCAUUCGGUGUGGAUUGUGUAGCAUAGGCGGGAGGCCGAGAGGCGCGGUCGCCAGAUCGCGCGGAGCCGUAAGGUGAAAUACCGCUCUGUUCGCAUUGGAUGUCUAACCUCGAAAGUCAUCCUGUUCAGGGACAGUGCCUGGCGGGUAGUUUAACUGGGGCGGUUGCCUCCCAAAGAGUAACGGAGGCGCCCAAAGGUCCGCUCAGCCCGGUUGGCAAUCGGGUGGCGAGUGCAAGUGCACAAGCGGGCUUGACUGCGAGGACGACGGUCCGAGCAGGGACGAAAGUCGGGACUAGUGAUCCGGUGCCGGUGUACGGACGCGGCAUCGCUCAACGGAUAAAAGGUACCCCGGGGAUAACAGGCUGAUCAUUCCCAAGAGUCCAUAUCGACGGGAUGGUUUGGCACCUCGAUGUCGGCUCGUCGCAUCCUGGGGCUGGAGCAGGUCCCAAGGGUUCGGCUGUUCGCCGAUUAAAGCGGCACGCGAGCUGGGUUCAGAACGUCGUGAGACAGUUUGGUCUCUAUCCUCUGCGCUCGUUGGAAUGCUGAGGAGGCCUGCCCAUAGUACGAGAGGACCUGGGUGGACGAACCUCUGGUAUGCCGGUUGUCACGCCAGUGGCACGGCCGGUUGGCUACGUUCGGAAGGGAUAACCGCUGAAAGCAUCUAAGCGGGAAGCCUGCUCCAAGAUAAGCAUUCCGUGGAACCUUCGAGUUCCUGUAGUCCCCAUGCAGAACACGUGGUCGAUAGGCCGGACGUGGAAGCCCCGCGAGGGGUGGAGCCGACCGGUACUAACGGACGAAAGGCA